Gallus gallus (chicken) is the source of this 13418-nucleotide RNA transcript. It is a transcript of the gene named WD repeat containing planar cell polarity effector, with no coding region annotated. The record is from RefSeq and is a predicted model, not a curated record. NCBI's taxonomy places the organism in Eukaryota, Metazoa, Chordata, Aves, Galliformes, Phasianidae. The transcript has 17 exons.
GCCGUUGUCCCGACGCCCCGCCCCUCUGGCCGAUUCAUUGCACCCGUCCGCAUCCCGAGAGCCGCUAGGGGACGAUGAGCGGCUCCGAGCGCUGCGCACGCGCUCCUGAAAGAUGAAGGUUAAAACGGCGUUGGCUUUUCGGUUUGCGCAUGCGUCAGACAGAGGGCGGUCGGGGCGCGCGUUGAACUCAAGAGCAGCCAGCCGUGCGCAUGCGCGCGAGGGGAGGAGUCGGCGCCGUCCGGAGAGGAAGGAAGGAGGAGGACAUCGCGCGCCGCGUGGCUGCUGCGCGUGCGCAGGCUUCCCGUGGUUUGAUCGAGACCGACCCUCUGACAGCUCCUGAAGUAUCGAAAACAGCGGUGUCAGGGUUGAAAAGUGCCAGGGCUCCCAUCUGCCAUCAGAUGACUUUCUGCCUGACUGAGCUGCACCUGUGGUCUUUGAAGACUACCUUACGUAUUAGCGAUGAAGACAUCGGGGUACAUCAGUACUAUGACAAGAAAGAGCCAGGAUCACAGAUGAAGCAUGGUUAUUUAGAAGACAAGCAAAAGCUAGCAGAAUCUCGAGAUUACCCUUGGAUACUGAAAAACAAACGACCAGAAAAACUACGAGAUACACUCAAGGAGGUGGAGGACUUAAUGCAGAACAGUCAAUGUGUGCUGAGCAAAUGGAAGAACAAACGUAUCUGUCAGCUCCUCUUUCAUUCAGGUAUAUUGGUCUCCCUAAGCCUUUCUGGGCCACAGCUGGAGAAAGUGGUGAUUGACAGGACCCUGGUGGGGAAGCUCAUCUCCGACACCAUCAGCGAUGGUGUUCUUUCAGACAAUUUCAUCAUCUUGUCAUUUGAGGACUACAACCAACUCUGCUUCAUUCAGUUUACAAAGAGGAUGGAUUCUCCUGAUGUGAACAGAAGAAGACAUGAGAAACUCUCUUGUUUGGAUUUUAAGAUUUCUUACAUUGAUAUACCUGGACCAGAAGGUAGGAGGAUGAAACGUCACCUGGCAAUAAACUGUAUGCAAGAUAUGGCCAUUUGCUGGUGGUCAGCAGCUAGUGAUGGAGCAUGGCCUUGGUCUCCUAUUUCCUGUGAAAGGGACAGAGCCAACCUCUUGCUGUUAGGCUGUGCUCAUGGCAAACUGGAGGUUCUGAGUUAUGUCCGUACAGAAUGGGAUCCACUUGAUGCUAGCUUCAGCACUAAGGAGCCUUACCAGGUUCACACAGUUGAGCACUCCAUCUCUGCCGAUAAAGAGCCCAUGGCUGACAGCUGCAUCUACAAUUAUGUUAGAAACAAAAUUCGGUGUGCAGCAGUCACCAGAAUACCACUACAAUCAAGGGCCAUCAGCUGUUGCAGAAAUACUACAGAAGACAAACUAGUACUGGGCUGCGAAGAUUCGUCAAUAAUUCUGUAUGAUGCCUACAACCAAGUGACUCUGUUAGCCCAAGCAAAACUAUUGCCUGCAUUAAUAACUUAUCACCCUUCUGGGGCCAUAUUCCUGGUUGGCAGCUCUCAAGGGGAGCUGCAGAUUUUUGACACGGCACUGUCCCCAGUUAAAAUUCAGCUCUUGGCAGACAAUUAUUCACCCAAGGCAACUCUGCAAUUCAGCAAACACUUUGACGUGUCUAGCAGCCUCAUCCAGAUUCAGUGGGCUGCUGCUCAAGCUGCAUCUCCCAGCACCGAUGGCAUAGAUGUUCAUGAUCUUUUGUUCAUUAGGUUUGACAAAGGACCCUUAGGAGUACUUCACUUCAAACUUGGUGUGAUAACAAGAGGACAGCUGGGCCUUGUGGAAAUCAUCCACCAAUAUAUUCGCUAUGAUGAGAUACAUGAGGCAAUUAACGUCCUGAACACCAUGAACUGGAACACGAUGGGCCAUCAGUGCUACGUCUGCUUGAGUGCCAUUGUCAAUCACCUACUUAAACAAAAGCUUACACCAAACAGAGAAGCACAGCUUGAGGCGAGCCUUGGAACCUUUUAUGCUCCAACAAGACCCCUCUUGGAUGCAACCAUAGUGGAGUACAGGGACCCCAUCAGCAGAUAUGCAAGAAGGUUCUUCCACCACCUGCUCAGGUAUCAGAGAUUUGAAAAAGCAUUUCUACUAGCUGUUGACAUAGGUGCUCGGGACCUCUUUAUGGACAUCCAUUACCUUGCUCUAGAUAAGGGUGAAUUGGCACUAGCUGAAGUGGCAAAGAAAAAGGCUAAUGACAUUGAUGCAGAAUCAAUAACCACUGGAAUUGCAACAUAUCAAGAAGUAACUUGCAAAAGUGAAAACAAUUCACAGUGAGAUUCCUUGAGUGAGGAUGCUAAAUGACAAAGAAUGAUUCAGCUUAAAAGAUCUUGAAGAGAUGCCCAUGGCAUGGAAUUGCAGUAAAGAGAAGUGAGCUGAAGAAGUGGAGAUCAGAUACUGCAUAGUCAACACCAGGGGAGAGCUGUAGAUAUGAGUUUGGAAGGAACAAUGCUUGUCAAUAGGAGACUCUUCGCACAUCUGCUCUCUGAUCAAACAAAUAAACAGAAACACUGGAGGACAAUUUAUUUAUUACAUCCUCUUUCACUACACCCCCUGCCGCACUGCAGGCUGGGGAUGCCAUGGAAUUGCUGCUGGCAAAGUUGAAGGUUGGAACUGUUUUCCUCCAAAGGCUGCUCAGGGGACUGCUUGAAAGUUUAUCUCCAGAAAACUCCCUUAUCAAAACCAAAGGUGUUUGAUGACCUGAUCUUAGCUCUUGUUGAAUGCUUUCAGCCUAUCAAAACCAAAUGCCCCGAUAAAAGCCUGUUUGUUGGUGUUCUGCUUUGGAGAAAGCCAUGGGGAAGAGCUCAGCUGGGUCCAAGAGAAAGCUUUGCACCCAUUGCUGCUUUCCACCUUGCCCCAGAGAAGAAAUAAUGUGGGUUGUUAGAGAAAACACAUUGAUGGAAAACUGAUGGAAAAUGCUUAAUACCAUGCAAUGAGUACAUCAGAAUGAGUGGCUUUUGUCCUCAACAUACCUCAUCAAAUGCAUUUCAUUUCAGCUAUUUGAAAUACAGUUUCUUUAAAUACUCUUCCUGUGGGUUAGUUGGCACUGAAACUUCUUAAAAUCUCAGUGCUGCGAGACUGCUGCAGCUCCCAAACUCAUGCAUGAAUGGUAUCUUUGUGCUAGAUUUCAAACUGUAAAGUUUACUCUUAAAAACAGAUAAUGAGGCAACGUUGGUUAUCUCUGCAUUGUUGAUAUUAUGAAAUGGCAAAAUAUUAUAAUAAGAUGAAAAGAUAGUAUUAAUAACAGCUUAAGCAUGUAUGAUGAUCAUUAUAAUUACUUAUUUACCAUGGGUACAUGGUAAGUGUCCCACCUUAUCAUCUUUAUGAUUAAGCAAAGAGCUUGAUUUCUGCCUCCUACCCUCCUAGCCCAGGCCUGGCUGCAAACCAUGGCAUUUGGGCUCCUGGUUCUCAUGUCCUCACCACAGCCUCCCUCCUCCUGCCCAUAUUAAUCUGCUACCUGAUACUUUUGCUGGAUGUAACCUACCUUCCUCUGCUACAUCAUGCUGUGGUUAUCUGCGUACCUCAGCUGAAUUUGGGCAUUGGCCUUGCUAAUAUUCUUACUGCUGAAAAUGGCCCCCCUGAAGAUGCUCCUAUAUGCCUGAAGUGCACUGGGGAAGAGCAAAUUCUGGGGCCAUCCCAGAGCCCUUGCAGAAUAACUUUAUUUCACCUCCCAUCACUGCCUUGACACGAGCCUGUCCUAAGCUCACCCUCUGACUGCAACACACAGAAGGAGGGAUGUGGAACCCAGUCUGAACUUCUACUGAAUCAUCAUCUCAAUCUCCCUGCAAUAUUUCAUGACAUGACUACCUAAACAAACUUUUAAUAACCAAAUGGAAGAUGAUUGGUACAAUUGCUACUUAUAUAUGUGUGUAUUUACUACAUAGGGUGCGUGAGGCACUUGCUGGGAGCCCUUGCUUUUUGCCUGCAGGUGGGGAGACAUUAAGCUCACAUGGAGCGAGCCCAUGUUCAUGCAGUUGGCUGUGCUGAAAGACUGCGCUGCUGCUGCCUUUUAGGCAUGGCUGGGAAGAAUUGGGCCCACAGCACUCUCUUUUGAACACAGGAAUAAAAUACUAAUGAGAAUUUUAAUAGGAAGACACGCCUGGAAAACUCCUGAUAUCUUCCAAAAUUCCUGAAGGAAAUAUGAGCUUCAGUCGGUGCCUUAUUUUCGCAUACUAUGAUCAACUACACUGCCCCAGCCUAUUCCUCUGCGUGUCUGAAAGCAGCGUUGCUCACUUACAAGACCAGGAACAGCCCAGCAGGUCAGUGACGGGCCGGUGGCAGUCCUCUCAGUCCAUCCCCAACCUCCUGGGUGACUUUGGCCAGCUCAUUUGAGCCCUUGGUGCUUUCAUUUCCCUCUGGGGAGCCCUCUGUGACGCACACCCCUCCUUCCCACAGCAUCCCGCACCGCGGCCCUGGCUUCUUCCCAUCACCUUUCCGGCAGUGCCCUCCCGGAGGUGGGAGCACAGCCAGGCCGAGUCCGUUUUCUAAGCUCACUUAUUUUCUGUGAUUUGGAGGAAUUUUUACAACGCGCCGCUGGGAAAAUCAGCCUUAAUACUCUUGUUGCUAUCUGCCGUUAGGUGUCAGUGUGACAACAACCAUGAUGCACAAAGGCUUUUCUAGGGGCGGGCAAGCCACUCUGUCCUCAACUUCUCUGUUCGGGAUCGGGGAAAACGCAACAUCCAACCAAGAGGAAGGGGAAGGGAGAGCAGAGCCAGCAACACCUUAUCUCAGGUUUUUCCACCGCCUGAUGGAAGCUAUUUACUAGCAGAUAAGUCUGUUUGCGUUUCAUUCCGUGCGUCUCGGGGCUCCCGGUGCUGUGGUUCUCAGAGAGGUGCGAUAUUUACCAAAGCACGGGAAGAGUUUCUGCACACACCGCCCCAACACGCCGUGCUGGGGCCAAAGGAACACUCGCCGCUAUUGGUAAUUUGCAGUCUGUAGGAGGUAAACAGCUCUGCCCAUGCACAAAGUGUUUCCGUAAGGUGAUGCCUGCUGAGGUUGGAUAAAAUACUGGGUUGGAAAAAUAGCGAGGAAUUCCGUUCAUUCAGAAGGAAAGGAUCGAAAAGCUUAAAAAAUAGUUUUAAAACGAUGUUUUUUUUUUUUCACUCAAAAUGAGCCAUUAUUUCAGUGGAUGGGUGGUAUGCAAAGUAAAGGAAGAGUAAAAAUGUGGUACACGUAAAGGGGUCUGUUUCCAAGUUUGGAAUGCUUCCCAAGAUGAGCUGACAAAGGUAGCAAACAAUUUUUGUUUAGAUGGGAGCUUUUAAACUCAGUACAGACAGGAAAUAAAGUUCAGUUUUGGCCAAAAAAAGAAAGAAAAAAAAGAAAAAUUGUCUGUGUCUGAAGAAAAUGAUUCUCGGAAAUAUUCUCCUGAUCCCUCUGGUGUUGAGAAUAUCCCAAGUGCUUGUAGGGAGACAUUUCCCCCCUUAUUUUUGAAGCCAGGAGUGUUCCCACUGUUGACUUUGAUGGGAUUUGGGUCAGGGCAGCACAGUGGCUAACUCACAUUGGCUCUGCCAGGGAUCAGAGAAUCUGUUGUGCAAGAAAACCCUUUGGGGACAGCUUUGCCUUCCUCUUGCCUCCUCAGAGGUAGAAGGGAUUGUGUGCAUUGCUUAACUUUGUUGUCAUGAUGAUGUUCUUCUCCCAUUCCUUAUGCUCCUCAUCUUGCCUAGAAAGCUGCCUCCAAUGCUCCAGUGAUUUGCGCCCUAGAGCAGGACAGAGGCAGCGGGGGUAGGACAGGCAGCAGGCAAGCGGGCAGCAAACACCUGUGGGAGAUGUGGGGUGUGGGCAAGGCUGAUGCUGGCAUAUAGGGGAAGGAAAGGAUUUCUCUGGUAAUGCAGGAAUGUGGAAAGAUUCUUUGCAAGGGCAAACUUUCCCUAUUGAAACUCAAUUGCUUUCUGUGGAUACAAAAUGCACUUUAAGUGAUGAGAGGAGCAACACUGUAUUCAACAGAUAUCAGAGAAUGCAGGCUGGGUUAAUUACCUCCUCUUAAAGAAAAUAUUUAUUUCUUUUUCUACAAAGGUGAGCAUCUGAGACAGAAUCUUAUCUCCAAACUCCUGUCGUGCCCUUAAAUGAGAAGAAGAGUGAGGGAGGGAAUGAAACAGGGCCGGGGGCAGACACCGGGAUCUUUCUCUUGGGGUUUUUCCUCUGUUGGCCUCACCACCCACCCAGCUCCCUGCCAGCAGCCUCUGUGCCGACCUGGCCACGGCAGUCUGUAAGGCCUUUGGGCACCCAAACCAGGUGUCAGCAAGCCCGUGCAGCGAGCAGGGCAGGUGAGCGACAGCCCCAAAAUGCCUAUCAGGGAGAACCUGCCCUGAUAUCUGCUUCAGUGCCUUCAUUAGCCACACCUUGCUGCUAAAUUGUCGAGUGUCAGUCAGGGUGCACCAGAGAUGGUUACAACAAGGCGUGCUCUAAUACCCCAACUGCUUUCAUGUCCCAGUGCCUUCGGGUGCUUUUAGAAAACGCAUCCAAGUUUCAUCUCAUGAGGUGGGAUUUAGCCAAGAGACACCGAACAGAGCACUGUAUAAGUGUCAUUAAGAGAGCUUAGUAGCAGGAUGUCAGAAUGUAUGUUGUGUGCGUGUGUAUGUGUCUGUAUGCAUGCACACAACUCACACAUACACACUUUUGGCACCAGAGAGGUUUAAAAGAACACACCAGCACCAAACAUGUGGCCAGUUUUGAAUUCAUCUCAUCAGCACGACUGGUUUUGUAGCGUCAUAGAAUCAUAGGGGUUGGAAGGGACCUCUGGAGAUCAUCGAGUCCAACCCCCACGUUUCCUAUGUGGAUAGGCACAUACACAAACCUGACAAAACUUGGCACUCAUCUUAUGGGAACUUACCCAGGAAAUUCAAGACUUUGUAUCGUAAUUCUUAAAGCACAACAACAACAACAGAAGUGGGAAGUCAAUGUUUUUAAAUGGACUGAAAAAAACCCAACAUGCAAGCAUUUUUAAUUUUGAUACAUGUUACGUGGUAAUCAGCUUGUUGGUAUCAGAAUAAGUUUACUCUACACAGCCUUCCAGCAUAAGCCACUUCUUUUCCAUGAGCCCCAAUGACUGUGCGUGAGCACAUUUGUCUGGCAGAAGCCAGCAAGCACUGCUGAUUUGUAAUUAUUGUUUUGUUUACAGAUGGUAUUCCCAUUUUUCUGUUAUUUGGAUUAGGGAACCAACCAGUCCCAACUUUUUCUUCAUUAAAAGCAAAAGAAAAAAUCUCCUUUUAAUAAGUGUAUGCUUCACACUUUCAAACUUCAAUAGCAUGGAAUGUUUCACUUGAUCAGAAAGCUGAUUUAAUUUGCUGCUAGGUUAAAUGUUAAAGGUUUCAGUCUUAUGACCAUGAAUUCUCAAAUUAAAUUCAGUGCAUUGCUUAAAUUUCUAGCUGCAGUGCAUUUAGGCUAAUUGCUUUGGUAAGUUGGAUGCUCAGUAACUACCACUCUUCUGAAUUUUCGUCUUUAGAGGAGAGCAAUGAAAUAAGCCUGAGGGGCCCAGGUGGGCUCGCCUGCUCUUUGGGAUUCACCUGUGGGGUCUUUGGAUAUCUCUUCCAGUCUGACCACAUCCUCAGACCAUGUCUGAUGAGGCUGUUCUACUGACAAGGGAGAGAAUUUAAACACCUGUAGGUUUGAGCUAUUUAAGCCCAAAUCAGUUUUGAAGCAACAAGAAAGGCUGAGCAAAAUGGUUCAGAUUUCAGUCAGUUGUCAGCUAAAUGUGUGCACUGGGCCUUCAAGUAUUUGGCCAGACACAUCUUGAUUGCUUGGCUUUUGUUUUCGCCCUUGGAAAGUCAGCUGGAUAAUAGCCCCUAGCCAAAGCCUAUUCUGCAAUGCUGUAAGUGGGCAGGGCCUGGGGGCCAGCGGGAGAGCUCACCCAAAAAAUACCGAGCUAUCUUGACAUAUUUCCUGAUUUUCUGCCUGCCAACUUAUUUGCACUCCUUCUUUACAACAUUAACCAUAAAAAUCAUUCGGUCUGAACUUUAUCACCACUGAUGCACUUCCCCUUGGGAGGAAGCCACAGGGUGAUGGAAGCAGCAAUGGAAACCUCUGCUAGCUGCACAUGGGCAAGCCCCGAGCACCUAGCCUGAGUACCUAGCUUUUUCCUCUUUGUUUACAGCAUUUUAAGGCUUUUAGUUCUCACGCAACAUAUAUGUCAUUAAAUAGCCGAUGCCUCUUUGCACACGUUGUUGUGAUGGCCUGUGGCAACCUGAAUUAAUUGUUUCUGUAGUUGGUGGUGGUUACUAGCAGUAAUUAUUAUAAUUUGCAUUUAUAAAAAUACCUUUCAUCUAAGGAUCUCAAAAUGCUUUUGCGCACAUUUAAUUAAGCUUCACAACAUCCUGUGAGGUAAGUGUAAAGAGCGUUGUUAUAUCCACUUUUACACCAGAUUCCCCAAGAAAACAAGGUCAGUCCCUACCGUGGUGGGUGUGUGGGUCACAUCACGCUGGCACUGGAUGAAACAGGAACUAGGGGUGCCGAUCUCAGUCACCGUGUGUAUCCCACAUCGCUGCAUUGGCCACUGUGCAUUCAGGCAGAGCAGCCAAAGCCCAGAUCUCUGGUCUGAGAGGGCCAGUUCCUUUCCUCGGAGACUUCAGCUGCAGAAAAGUCUUGGGAGGAAAAACCAAUCAGCAUAUAUUGCACAAGACAACCCGUGCUGCAAAGAUAUCUUCUUUCCCUCAUUUUCUACCAUGAAGUUUAAGCCUCUCUCUGCAAUCUGCACUCAGUGAGACAUUGCUGCUGCAGCUGAAGGCAAGAAACCAGCCUCAAGCAAUGUGAAGUGGCCCUUUACAAGACUCUUCCCUGUCUUAGCAGACGCUGCAUGCACUUCAUCGCCAGUCUUGGAUCAACUCUAUGUGCUACGAGCCCUCCCAAGACCAAUCACAUCCAAGGCUACCACUUGACCAUGGCAUUUAGAGGUGAGGACAACACGAGCUUUGGCACUUGAGAGGACAACAGCGGAAGACAGUUUUCAAAAGCCCAUUUCUUCUCCAUAAAUUUGACAGUGUUGUUUGAACUGAACCCAGCUCCAUGUAAGCUCUGGAUGAGCCCCAUGGAAGGUAGAUCUACGUAGGUGCCUGCAGGUUGGGUAAGAAGUAUGAGACCAUGCCCUCAGAGUUCUUUACCAUCCCCACCAAUUUAUAAAGGCUUGUUUACAUACGACUAUGACCAGUUUAACUAUUUUGAAAGAACUUUGCCCGUGGAUGCAUCUAAUCCAAAAUAAAAGCCAAGUUUCUGAAUUAAGUGGACUUACGGGUAGGGAAUGAUUAUUCUAAAUAACGUGAGAAAGUUAUUUGUCUAUAGAUCAUUCUGCCGGCUUGUUCUGAAGUGGACUGCCUGGCUGAUGCCUCACACUGCUACAUUAUAAGGCAGGGACGCAGUUGCAUAUUCAUCAACAACCAAGUUUGUUGUCAGCACAACCUUUUCUCAAAGGGGAUGUGCCAAUGCCAGGCAAGAGGCAGUGUCCUUGUCUAAGGUCUUGCACACCUCUCUGUCCUCACCUGGUAUUAUUUCUGAUUUUACCUAACAGCAUGAAAUCAUUCCUGAAAAUAUCCUUGCUUGUUUCUAACAGCAGAAAACUCAAGUGGCAGAGGCUUUGAUGUGUCCCACUUCACUCAUAGGAGAUGCCAUUAGCAGAGAGGCUUUGUCCUGGUGUCAUUGGAGGAGCACCCCAGAGAUGCCCAGGGAAAAGCUUAAUCAUUCCCAGAGCAUCCUCCCAAGGACAGUGUUGCUUACUCCCAAAUCCUUUCAGUUCCCACAAAUCAAUUUACAGGAUUUAUUCUGUUUCCGUGUUUCUCUUAUGGCAUAAGAGCGCACAUCGUUUCAUUUGGCCUGACACCAUCUGCUUCACUUCAAGGAGUGGGCUGAGACCAUGCUUUUAGUGAUAGUCCUUAUAGGUUUUCUUCUUUUCCUCUGAUCCAAACUUGUUUGUCUUUAUUGAAGGAAAGGAAAGGAAAAAGGAAAGGGAAGGGAAGGAAAGGGAAAAAUGGAAACAAAAAAAGGAAAAUGGAAAAGGAAAAAGAAAGACAAAGAGUAGGAAAAAAAAAAGAAAAGAGAAGAAAAGAGAGGAAAAAGGAAAGGGAAAGGGAAAAGGAAAAGAAAAAGGAAAGAAGAGGAGAGGAAAAAGGAAAAAGGGAAAAAAGGAAAAGAGGAAAGAAAAUGCAGGAGUGACCUGGGUUGUGCCAGAAUACAGCACCAUGGGAAUCACAGCAUCAGGCCCACAGAGGGUCUUGUUGCAGCUACCAGAAAGCUGUGGCAAUAACUUCAAAUCAGUACUCUGGGGUUUGUUUCUUUUUUGGGGGAGUUAAAAAUUCUGCUCAAGUUAUCUCCUAUUGCAAAAAUGACUCCAUGGGUACUACGUUAUCCUCUUUGGACCUCAAUCACUCCCAAAGAUUCAAGAUGAACUCUGCCUGCCCAGGCACCAGAGUCAGUGCCCCGAGGAAUUUCUUCAUAUCUCAGGGAUACGCAGGAUGUGUACUUGCAUGCCCUCGCUGCCUCUCAGCACCAGCUGUACAUGCAGUUUUGCUUUAGGAACCUGUACCUCCAGUAUUGCAAUAUCUCUUUCAGUCUCUGUCAUCAAGAGUUUAAAUACAGUUCAGAUCAGUGUUAGUGGCCCAGCUCCAACAGAGGAGAAUUGCUGCAAUUCGUUAUCUUGACAAAUUAACUGGUCUGAGGCAAUUCCUUUUUGAGAGAUACAAUUAGCUAACUCUUGAACUCUAGCCUUGCUCCAGCGCUAUGGCAAAGUCAUGCACCUGCUUCAAAAGUUUUGAUAAUACACCUAAGUACAACUAAGACAUUUCCACCUGCAAAUAUAUUCCUGCACCAGGAGCUGUAGUGUGCCAUGGUCAUGCCUUGCUGUCCUUACGCUGCUCUUGUACCUGCUGUGGGAUGGGCUGAUGGUGCAGCCUCUGCUGUAAAGGGCUCUGACCUCAGCUGACUGAAAAAAGCCUGUAUGAAUACCCAGGUGAUCUGGUUGAAUAGCACCUAGGGGAUGGUACUGGUUGCAAUCCCUCAGUCUGUAUAGACCUGGUGAAAACAGGAUUACUGUCAGGUGCUGGAGCUGAUGCUCCAGCUUCCCUUCCCUCCUGUCUAGGGGAACAAUUUUUUUUCUGCCAAGCAAAGGGAAAACAUCCACAGCUACGUCAUACUUCCAGCCUCAUGUGGGUAGAUGCCGUUCCCUUCCCAUUCUCCUUGGAAAGCAGCUCUUGCCCUCCACAGUAGCUCACCCUUGGGCAUCAUCUUCCUUUGCACAAGCGCUCCCAGCUACUAUGAGAUAUCCCUCAACCAUUCAUCCAAGCCAUUUUAGAAGCUCUGUGCGGGAUGAUAAAGCUGUCCUGCAGAAGGCUUGUGUCUGCCUGAAGCCUCUUUGUAUGGAUGUGGUGACUCGGAGGUUCCUAGAGCUCCGCUUUGAAUUCCAAGCCUUCAGCAUUCAAAACAUUUAACCCUCAAUUUCUUUUCCCCUUUAUCAGUUUGGCCAACUUCCAGCUGGCAGCGUUUGUUUGCAGGCUUCCAUCCUGCAUCUUGUGCUUGCAGAUGUCUCUCUGUCUCAAUUAACCCCCCGAAAUGGUUUUCCUCUCCCCUGACUGGUGCAUCCUCUCUUUGCUCUCUGCCUGCAGGGCAGGAGCUGGCAGUUAGCAGCUGGGUCCCUGAGCUGGAGGUGCCAGGCAGAGGGUGUGCCGAGCAUGCAGUGUCAGAACCAGCAGGAGAGGAACACGCUGCUCAGCAGCACUUGCUCAGCAUGCUCUGGGCUGGGCUUUGCAGUGCUGGAGGCCGUUGGGCCUUUGUGGCAUCUCUGGAGCACCAUGGAAGAAAGAUCAGGUCUUGCUGGAGUGCUUUUGCUGAGAUGCUCCAGAGCAUGCACCCAAACAGUGGGAACGUCUGUGCUCACUAGCACAGCCUUCCUCUGGAACUAGGUAGUAGCGUAAAAUAGGAUACAAAAAGGUCUGAAGUACCACUUACCAAACAAAGAAAAUGCCUAGUCACCUGGAGCAUCCUCCCUCCUGCGCCUGCUCUAAUUGCUCAACACAAGGAGCCCUGGGCGGCCGGGCUGAGCCCUGGCACUCCGGUUCCUCCUCAGCACUGUGGCUCCUUCUCAUACACUGGCAGCCGAGAGGAGAACUGCUCCCUGCUGCCAAGAUUAUAGGCAAACUUCACACAGUUUGGGCAACCUGAUAACAUCUGGAGACACGAGCUCUCCAUUGCUGGGACACCAGUCAAGCCUUUGGGUGGAGAGGGCCUGGAGUCAAAGCAAAUCCUUGGCUGUUCAGGUUUUCCGCUGGCGACCCAUCACAGCUCGGUGCUACCACGUCUGGAUCGUUCCCGUAAGACACACCUUUUUCUUUAAAUUAAGUAGUAUUGGCACUGCUAGCAUCAUUUCUGAGGAACCUGAUUACCUAGGCUCCAGGGAGAUAUAAAACGAGCUGUUCAGCUUAUAUAGUGGUUAGCUUAAUCUUGUGUAUAAUUCUAGCAGAGCAAAUGAGUAGUCAAGAUUGAAAUCUCUGCCGGAGCUGGUGAGGACUUGGCAUUUCCAUGCAAAGCAAGCUUGAAGCCAGGUUUCACUGCAAGCUACAGAAGGCUGCUAAGUGCCAUAGUCUGUCCACGCUACUCAAAAAAGGGUUGUUUGUGCUUCUUUACUAGUAUCACAUCACUUUUAUUUCCAUUAUUCUUCUUCCUGGCACACCCACCGAAGCCGUUCUGCUGCUGCUAAUAUGCCUGAUGUCCAAUCAGUGAAAUAAUGAUAUGCUGUGCUCGCGCUAAGAGUUGCUGCUACUUAGUAGUGAUUGAAGUGCCUUAUCUUCUUAACUAUCAAAUUGUUAAAUUACAACACAAAUGGGAGAUAUUUUGGUUGAAUGUGCCUUUUCCAGCUCUCGGCAGCAACAGCUGUUCUCAAUAAGUUCUGAAAGUACUGUAAAAACAGUAUUUCAACAAGUAAUGUUUGUCAAAUGAAGGAAGGCAUGGCAGCUCUGGGAAUUAACAAAAUAAUGUAAUCUGAAAUAAGAAGCCCUAGAAAACCAGAGCAGAAGAAGCAGAGUUUGUAUUCCCAGCGCUCCUCAACAAAGCUGGCUGCUCCGAAGUGGUUUCCCUGCAGGAAACUAAAUGACUUUAAUGGGCUCUGUUUAAUUUAGAAAGACGAUGUUGGGAAAACAGUUGUUCCCAGAAGAGAGAGAGCUGCCCAUGCUCCCGUCAGUAGUGACAUUCCCUCCGAUUUGGUAUGUGGAGAGGUAACCUAUUGGCUGUAGAAAGGUACUGGCUCCACAUAGAUUGGGUGACACCUCCUGCUGCACUUAUUUCUCUUAAAAAGUCUAACUCAGCAUGAGAGAUCAACUUCAGCAUGUCAAAAUGAUAAUAACAGAGAAUAGCUCACAUAGUACCUGGAGAUGGGUAUAUAUUAACGUGGAAGUAGCUGCUGAAGUAAAAAGGGAAUUUUGUUGAACUGCCUCAAUAAAAAGGUGUGAUUGCUGA